UUCAUUAAAUUUUUGCACAAAAUCCUUCUUAGAUGAUGACAUUUUAGUCUCCUCAGUUCUGACUAUUUUCAUUUCCUUUUAGAAUGAGAUGUCUUAAGGCUACUGUCACUUUAAAUCCAAAUAAGCUGCUUCUGGCCACACCCCCAACUCAAAAUGAAAAUGGCUGC
Long non-coding RNA from Xiphophorus hellerii (green swordtail), 167 nucleotides. RefSeq lists it as uncharacterized. NCBI's taxonomy places the organism in Eukaryota, Metazoa, Chordata, Actinopteri, Cyprinodontiformes, Poeciliidae. The record is from RefSeq and is a predicted model, not a curated record. The transcript is spliced from 3 exons.